This is a long non-coding RNA of Ipomoea nil (Japanese morning glory), 342 nucleotides long. RefSeq lists it as uncharacterized. The transcript has 3 exons. The record is from RefSeq and is a predicted model, not a curated record. Lineage: Eukaryota; Viridiplantae; Streptophyta; Magnoliopsida; Solanales; Convolvulaceae.
CUUUGCGUCUGUGAUUUCAUUGGCUUGCUGAUGACCUUACCCUAAAGAUAUGGAGUGCUGACAUAGCAAGGUUGCAGUGUGGUGAUGUAAAUGCACCUUGGUGAGUGCGAUGCUAAUACUGAUUUUCGUGAGUGGUGAUAUGGCCCUGCUCCUAGAAGUGCAUUUUUUUUUCCGAGUUACAAUCUAAGAUCAAUAUCCUCCUCUUUGCAUCCAUGCUGGUUAUAAUUGCAAAGGCCUUGUUUGCUCACGUGAGUGAAGGGAGAAGACGGAAAUGGGUUUUCCCUACACUAAUGCAAUUCCAAAAGUUUGAGGUAUUGUUCAAAGUGCCAUAAAGUAUUAUUU